CAGGUGUAGUUCAUCGGUAGAACAUCAGCUUCCCAAGCUGAAUAGGAGGGUUCGACUCCCUUCACCUG
This 68-nucleotide transfer RNA is filed under the name human gut metagenome. It matches the Rfam family "tRNA". Rfam says of the family: Transfer RNA (tRNA) molecules are approximately 80 nucleotides in length. Their secondary structure includes four short double-helical elements and three loops (D, anti-codon, and T loops). The record is from RNAcentral.